This 981-nucleotide ribosomal RNA is filed under the name human gut metagenome. Its description in RNAcentral is "bacterial LSU rRNA". It matches the Rfam family "Bacterial large subunit ribosomal RNA", at positions 1950 to 2925 of the family's 2925-position model. The record is from RNAcentral.
CCUAAGGUAGCGAAAUUCCUUGUCGGGUAAGUUCCGACCUGCACGAAUGGCGUAAUGAUGGCCAGGCUGUCUCCACCCGAGACUCAGUGAAAUUGAACUCGCUGUGAAGAUGCAGUGUACCCGCGGCAAGACGGAAAGACCCCGUGAACCUUUACUAUAGCUUGACACUGAACAUUGAGCCUUGAUGUGUAGGAUAGGUGGGAGGCUUUGAAGCGUGGACGCCAGUCUGCGUGGAGCCAACCUUGAAAUACCACCCUUUAAUGUUUGAUGUUCUAACGUUGGCCCCUUAUCGGGGUUGCGGACAGUGUCUGGUGGGUAGUUUGACUGGGGCGGUCUCCUCCCAAAGAGUAACGGAGGAGCACGAAGGUUAGCUAAUCCUGGUCGGACAUCAGGAGGUUAGUGCAAUGGCAUAAGCUAGCUUGACUGCGAGCGUGACGGCGCGAGCAGGUGCGAAAGCAGGUCAUAGUGAUCCGGUGGUUCUGAAUGGAAGGGCCAUCGCUCAACGGAUAAAAGGUACUCCGGGGAUAACAGGCUGAUACCGCCCAAGAGUUCAUAUCGACGGCGGUGUUUGGCACCUCGAUGUCGGCUCAUCACAUCCUGGGGCUGAAGUAGGUCCCAAGGGUAUGGCUGUUCGCCAUUUAAAGUGGUACGCGAGCUGGGUUUAGAACGUCGUGAGACAGUUCGGUCCCUAUCUGCCGUGGGCGCUGGAGAAUUGAGGGGGGCUGCUCCUAGUACGAGAGGACCGGAGUGGACGCAUCACUGGUGUUCGGGUUGUCAUGCCAAUGGCACUGCCCGGUAGCUAAAUGCGGAAGAGAUAAGUGCUGAAAGCAUCUAAGCACGAAACUUGCCCCGAGAUGAGUUCUCCCUGAGACUUUAAGUCUCCUGAAGGAACGUUGAAGACGACGACGUUGAUAGGCCGGGUGUGUAAGCGCAGCGAUGCGUUGAGCUAACCGGUACUAAUGAACCGUGAGGCUUAACCUU